GGAGUAUUCACCCAUCGGCAGAAAGUUGAGCAGAAAAAAAGAACUGUUCAAAUCAGAAACGAACUGUCGUUCAUUUUGCCGUUCUUUUUAAGGCCUAUCAACACAAUGCUAUUUUGCUUCGACCGAUCACUGCUCGUGAACCGUUUUGUCGAAAAAGAACUAAUUUCGGGAUUCUGUCGACGGGAACAGACAGCUUCGAAUUCUUUUUCUGCUCUGAUCACGUGACACCGGCAGAAUAAUUCUUUCUCUGGAUCAGACGCCAUGUUCUUUUUAACCUCAAUCUUUGAUUGUUGGUUGGUUUGUUUUGAUAUUAUUUUGCUGUCGGUUGUCAGAUUUCGGAUUGCUACUAUUAUACUGUGAAAUUAAUUUGCAGUAGAAAAUUGAGGUUUAAAAUAUUUCCAUUGAUUUCUUUAUUCUUAUAAUUUUUACAAGAGAAAUUGAAAAUGGAUUUACAACAGAAAGGCGUAAAAUUCAUUAUAAAAUUGAUGUGACAGUUCAAAGUUUUGUACUUUCCAGACCUGCACAACGAAUUACCUAUUUGAAAAAUAGAAUAUGGUUAAAAAUUGCUGAUAUGAUAGAGGAUUCAAGUACUAUUUACAAACAAAAUAUUGAAGAGAAUGUGCUCAAAAGGAAAUGCAUAUGAAUUCUUUUUUGUUGACCAGGAUGGAAAAAUUCUUUGGAACCCAUGGUUAGAAUAAGUUAGUUAGGCCUAGAGGUGUACCAGCCAGAAGUAGAGGAUGACAAAGAAAAUCAACUAUGAAUAAUAUUCCAUGUAUAUGAUUCAUGUAUGAUAGUAGCCUACAGAAGAAAGAGAUGGACUAAUCUAAGAAAUAUAUUCAUUUUUCAGUA
This 849-nucleotide long non-coding RNA is filed under the name Nilaparvata lugens (brown planthopper). Its description in RNAcentral is "uncharacterized LOC120351816". Lineage: Eukaryota; Metazoa; Arthropoda; Insecta; Hemiptera; Delphacidae. The record is from RNAcentral.